This 483-nucleotide ribosomal RNA is filed under the name uncultured bacterium. RNAcentral describes it as "partial 16S ribosomal RNA". It matches the Rfam family "Bacterial small subunit ribosomal RNA", at positions 30 to 523 of the family's 1533-position model. The record is from RNAcentral.
AUUGAACGCUGGCGGCAUGCUUUACACAUGCAAGUCGAACGGUAACAGGGUGCUUGCACCGCUGACGAGUGGCGAACGGGUGAGUAAUGCGUCGGAACGUGCCGAGUAGUGGGGGAUAACGCAGCGAAAGUUGUGCUAAUACCGCAUACGUACUGAGGUAGAAAGUGGGGGACCUUCGGGCCUCACGCUAUUCGAGCGGCCGACGUCUGAUUAGCUAGUAGGUGAGGUAAUGGCUCACCAAGGCUUCGAUCAGUAGCCGGUCUGAGAGGACGGUCGGCCACACUGGAACUGAGACAUGGUCCAGACUCCUACGGGAGGCAGCAGUGGGGAAUUUUUCGCAAUGGGGGCAACCCUGACGAAGCAAUGCCGCGUGGAUGAUGAAGUCUCUUGGGACGUAAAAUCCUUUCGACAGGGACGAAACCGCAAGGUUGACGGUACCUGUAGAAGAAGCCCCGGCUAACUCCGUGCCAGCCGCCGCCGUAA